RNAcentral lists this ribosomal RNA (480 nucleotides) under Streptococcus sp. oral taxon 058. RNAcentral's name for it is "bacterial SSU rRNA". It matches the Rfam family "Bacterial small subunit ribosomal RNA", at positions 28 to 488 of the family's 1533-position model. The record is from RNAcentral. Lineage: Bacteria; Bacillati; Bacillota; Bacilli; Lactobacillales; Streptococcaceae.
GACGAACGCUGGCGGCGUGCCUAAUACAUGCAAGUAGAACGCUGAAGGAGGAGCUUGCUUCUCUGGAUGAGUUGCGAACGGGUGAGUAACGCGUAGGUAACCUGCCUGGUAGCGGGGGAUAACUAUUGGAAACGAUAGCUAAUACCGCAUAAAAUUGAUUAUUGCAUGAUAGUCAAUUAAAAGGUGCAAUUGCAUCACUACCAGAUGGACCUGCGUUGUAUUAGCUAGUUGGUGGGGUAACGGCUCACCAAGGCAACGAUACAUAGCCGACCUGAGAGGGUGAUCGGCCACACUGGGACUGAGACACGGCCCAGACUCCUACGGGAGGCAGCAGUAGGGAAUCUUCGGCAAUGGACGGAAGUCUGACCGAGCAACGCCGCGUGAGUGAAGAAGGUUUUCGGAUCGUAAGCUCUGUUGUAAGAGAAGAACCGAGUGUGAGAGUGGAAAGUUGCACACUGUGAAACGGUUAUCUUUCACGAA